AACCGAGAACGACUGAUUUCAUAGUCGGCAGAGGCGCUACAGACGAUAAAGAGCUACAGAUUAAAUCAUGAAAUAAUCCACUGUAGGAAAAUAUUCUGUGGAUGAAUGCGAUAACGCAAGUCAAAUGUCAAAUAAAUCUUCCCCAUUGUUGUUUAUGGGUUUGUCAUGGACAUGACGUCUGUCAAUGUUGAUUAUUCGCUGUCAUCCAAAGAAAAAGCCUAUGCCGAUUUUAUUCAUUUCUGACGAUAUAAUCUGUGAUAAGUUGUAUGAUUUCGUGCCUCAUGCUUCCUGCACGUACUGGAUUGUGAUAUGUUUUCCCAUGUUCUCCAAUACGUAAUUUGUGAAUGUUUUGUUGGAUUAUCUUUUUCCUUAUCUGCUUUCAUAAAUGGUCAAUAAUCUGCGAAGAUUGUAGCUGUUUAUUGGUGUUGAAGGCUGUUAGAAAAUCCACGGCUUCCUAUCACAAAAGGCGUACGUUUUAAAGUUAUUCCUAAAAAUGCUCCAAAGAUUUUUUUUCAUCUGUAAAAAGUAUUUAUAUAAACAAUAUUCAUUCAUUCAACCGAAGGGUUCGGACGCCCACCCCCGACGGCUACAGCGAAUAAGGCAGCGACAUUUUCCAGACGUUUUCCGCUGUCUUCCAUCAUCGAAUCUGCGAAUAUCAAUUUGUGAUCGCUGAUUGAAUCAUCGGCUAAGAUGGAGGGGCCCCACCGUGGGGCGCCAUUUCCUGACAGCUCGGGGCUUCUCCAUUGGGCCCUCGCUGUUAAUGGAACAGGGGUGUGAAACGAUGGAAGAACUUGUCAUUUGGUUCCGAUUGACUAAAUCGACAUGUGCUUUAAGUUGCGAUCUAUCGAAGAUCUUGAAGGUUUUUGCCACUUUUGGACGCCUAAACUGAAGAGGAGGAAGCACUACCUGAUGAAGUUCUUCAUGCUUCAGUCGAAACAUGGGGUUUUUCGUGCGAUCUAUCCUGUAAGCCGACAAGCUCUUUGGGACUUUUGAGGCUUUGUCCCCCACAAAUCGACACAAGAACUAACAUUGUUUUUGAUUAAUGCUGAGCAUUACGCAUCUUUGAUAACGCAAGAUAGUAAUGAGAAUCAGCAUAUCUUCACAACCGGAACUGUAGGGGCAGUUUAGAGAGCCGAAUUACUCAGAAAUCCUGCUGAAACAGCUAUCAAUGUUACGCCGCCGUUCCAAGCAAAGAGAGCCAAGAGAACACUGUUGAUCAGGAAGUGGAAGGCCCAUAAGUGAUCCAAGUUUUGCUGUAGAAAACCAGAUGGUCCAAGCAGAAAAGAGCUCCGAUUUUGAGGGUCAAAAGAAAAGGCAAAUCCUGAUCCCAAGCAACAACAAAAGUUAAAAAUAAUCAUAUUAAUGCAGGAAAUCAAAGAAGCAGUAAGUAAAACGCAUUGAAACUAAUCCCCAAUUGUUUUAAAUAAUUAAAUAAAAAUUUGAUUAGUGCAAAAAACCACAAACAGAGCGACAGGCUUUCAAAGUGUUGCUGAUGGUGAGAAAAUACGGUUGGGUUGUUGCUAAAGCCGCGCCGCCAUCCACGAAUCCAUUUUGGAAAUUGGAAAAAAUCCAUCAAACGCGAUAACCAAACAUCUCGAGCCCUCAGGAGCGAAAAAAAUGUGUGUAAAAUGUCCCCGCCCGUAUCGAAUACACGCUCUUAGGGCCGUGGGCUUAGCAAAAAUACAUAAAUAUAAUGAAUACAAAUUGUCAAUCUGCCGCCCCAGGCAACUGAUUAAAUGGGGGCGGCGUGGGGCGGCCACCCUUCCGGUAGUCCUGAGGGUGAGAGUGAGGCAGGGCGGAGGUCACGCGGUGAAGUGGAUUAAGCCCUUGCGGAUGCGGGGACUUUUUCGGGGAGUGUCUAUACUGUCUACCCCACAGUGCAAGAAUUAAAUACAAAAAUUAUUUCAUCAGCCAUUUCCCUGACGUGAAAAGGGUUAAUUUGCACCGACCGACGAUUCCCCAUUCGAACGGUGCCCAUCCCCCCAGCCCGUACACAUGUAGGCCCUUUGUGCGGAAUAAAAAGUCGUAUUUGGGUUAUGUGAGGCUGCGAAGGAAAUAUGGGUCAAAUGGGGAAUAAGCCCUCGCUAAUCAAUCAAUUUUAGUUAGAAAAACGCUAUUGUCCGGUCCGCCCACACUGCACGCCAAACAGCGGGGCUUAAUCCAAAAUGAUGUAAUAAAAAUUCUAUUUCCCUCCCAACUAAAACCGUCUCGCAAUACCGACUUUGAGUACUUUGUUUAAUUUUUAAUAUGCCAUUAUUUGCGCCGCUGAUCCACUCUCCUCUAUUUGUUUUAGUCCGCAAUCGCUGAAAACCCCACAUAUAUACAAUUGUUAAUCUUGCUCUCCACUUUUAUUAAAUAUUCCCAUUGAGCCGAAGAAGGAGGAUGCGGAAUUAAAUAUAUCUUCUCCCUCUUUGCUUUAUUUCGCUGCGAUUUCAAUGCUUUGUGCGCAAUUUUCAACACAAAAACUGCCUACUGGCUUCAACAAUUCGAUUUUGCUCACAUGCCGGGUCCCUUUUGAUAAUUCUGAGCUUUGACGACAAAAAAAACAAAUCGCCACUGAUAUUAAUAAUGUGCAUAUGUUGGCACGCAUUAAAAAAUUGCCGAAAUGUUCGUCCAUUACUGCGAUUACCAUGCAAAAGCACGGGGGGAACGCUAACAUUGAAAAAGAGAUUCAACAUGUCCUAACAAAUAUUCGUAUGUUCAACCACCGAUGGUGGCGCUGCGAAACGUCAAAUUACCGGUUGUCGAGUGACAGUAAGACAGUAAGACAGUAAGACUGUCAAAGAGACAGACUUCCGAGGCCAUUCCUUGAAACUAAUGGGUUUUCAGGUCUCCGUUCGGUAGAAUAUCUCCCUGACGUUUC
Molecule: long non-coding RNA, 2863 nt
Organism: Dendroctonus ponderosae (mountain pine beetle)
Lineage: Eukaryota; Metazoa; Arthropoda; Insecta; Coleoptera; Curculionidae
Exons: 3
Source: RefSeq, a predicted model, not a curated record